UUUGAUCCUGGCUCAGGAUGAACGCUGGCGGUAUGCUUAACACAUGCAAGUCGAACGGGAUGCUUAGGCAUCUAGUGGCGGACGGGUGAGUAACGCGUGAGAAUCUGGCUCCAGGUCGGGGAUAACAGUUGGAAACGACUGCUAAUACCGGAUGUGCCGAGAGGUGAAAGAUUUAUUGCCUGGAGAUGAGCUCGCGUCUGAUUAGCUAGUUGGUGGUGUAAGGGACCACCAAGGCGUCGAUCAGUAGCUGGUCUGAGAGGAUGAUCAGCCACACUGGGACUGAGACACGGCCCAGACUCCUACGGGAGGCAGCAGUGGGGAAUUUUCCGCAAUGGGCGAAAGCCUGACGGAGCAAUACCGCGUGAGGGAGGAAGGCUCUUGGGUCGUAAACCUCUUUUCUCAAGGAAGAAGAAAGUGACGGUACUUGAGGAAUAAGCAUCGGCUAACUCCGUGCCAGCAGCCGCGGUAAUACGGAGGAUGCAAGCGUUAUCCGGAAUGAUUGGGCGUAAAGGGUCUGCAGGUGGAACUGAAAGUCUGCUGUUAAAGAGUUUGGCUUAACCAAAUAAAAGCGGUGGAAACUACAGAACUAGAGUGCGGUAGGGGCAAAAGGAAUUCCUGGUGUAGCGGUGAAAUGCGUAGAUAUCAGGAAGAACACCGGUGGCGAAAGCGUUUUGCUAGACCGUAACUGACACUGAGGGACGAAAGCUAGGGGAGCGAAUGGGAUUAGAUACCCCAGUAGUCCUAGCCGUAAACGAUGGAUACUAGGCGUGGCUUGUAUCGACCCGAGCCGUGCCGGAGCUAACGCGUUAAGUAUCCCGCCUGGGGAGUACGCACGCAAGUGUGAAACUCAAAGGAAUUGACGGGGGCCCGCACAAGCGGUGGAGUAUGUGGUUUAAUUCGAUGCAACGCGAAGAACCUUACCAAGACUUGACAUCCUGCGAAUCCCGGUGAAAGCUGGGAGUGCCUUAGGGAGCGCAGAGACAGGUGGUGCAUGGCUGUCGUCAGCUCGUGUCGUGAGAUGUUGGGUUAAGUCCCGCAACGAGCGCAACCCUCGUUUUUAGUUGCCAGCAUUAAGUUGGGCACUCUAGAGAGACUGCCGGUGACAAACCGGAGGAAGGUGAGGAUGACGUCAAGUCAGCAUGCCCCUUACGUCUUGGGCUACACACGUACUACAAUGCUACGGACAGAGGGCAGCGAGCCAGGGAUGGCAAGCGAAUCCAGAAACCGUAGCUCAGUUCAGAUCGAAGGCUGCAACUCGCCUUCGUGAAGGAGGAAUCGCUAGUAAUUGCAGGUCAGCAUACUGCAGUGAAUUCGUUCCCGGGCCUUGUACACACCGCCCGUCACACCAUGGAAGUUGGUCACGCCCGAAGUCAUUACCCCAACCGAAAGGAGGGGGAUGCCUAAGGUAGGACU
RNAcentral lists this ribosomal RNA (1413 nucleotides) under Cylindrospermopsis raciborskii CHAB3438. RNAcentral's name for it is "bacterial SSU rRNA". It matches the Rfam family "Bacterial small subunit ribosomal RNA". Lineage: Bacteria; Bacillati; Cyanobacteriota; Cyanophyceae; Nostocales; Aphanizomenonaceae. The record is from RNAcentral.